CUACCUGACUGUCCAGCAGAUCCACCCUGUCUACACUACCUGCCUGUCCAAAAGAUCCACCCUGUCUAUAUUACCUGCCUAUACAGCAGAACUACCCUGUCUACACUACCAGCCUCCCCAGCAGAUCCACCCUGUCUAUACUACCUGCCUGGCCAGUAGAUGCAUCCUGUCUUCACUACCUGCUUGUCCAGCAGGUCCACCAUGUCUACACUGCCUGCCUGGCCAGCAGAUCCACCCUGUCUACACUACCUGCUUGUCCAGCAGGUCCACCCUGUCUACACUACCUGCCUGCAAAGCAGAUCCACCCUGUCUACACUACCUGGCUGGCCAGUAGAUCCACGCUAUCUACACUACCUUCCUGUCCAGCAGAUCCAACCUGUCUAUACUACCUGCCUGUCGAGCAGAUCCACCCUGUCUAUACUACCUGCCUGUCCAGCAGGUCCACCCUGUCUACACUACCUGCGUGCCCAGCUGAUCCGCCCUGUCUACACUACCUGCUUGUCGAGCAGAUCUGCCCUGUCUACACUACCUGCCUGUCCAGCAGAUCCACCCUGUCUAUACUCCGUACCUGGCCAGCAGAUCCACGCUAUCUACACUACCUGCCUGUCCAGCAGAUCCACACUGUCUACACUACUUGCCUGUCCAGCAGAUCCACUCUGUCUACACUAACUGCCUGCCCAGCAGAUCCACCCUGUCUAUACUACUUGCCUGGCCAGUAGAUCCACGCUAUCUACACUACCUGCCUGGCCAGUAGAUCCACGGUAUCUACACUACCUCCCUGGCCAGCAGAUUCACCCAGUCUACACUAACUGCUUGUCCAGCAGGUCCACCCUGUCUACACUACGUGCCUGCCAGCAGAUCCAAGCUGUCUACACUACCUGCCUGGCCAGUAGAUCCAUGCUAUCUCCACUACCUGCCUAUCCAACUGAUCCACCCUCUCUUUACUACCUUCCUGUCCGGCAGAUUGACCCUCUCUACUCUACCUGCCUGGCCAGCAGAUCCACGCUAUCUACACUACCUGACUUACCAGAUCCACCCUGUCUACACUACAUGCUUGUCCAGCAGGUCCACCCUGUCUACACUACCUGCCUCUCCAGAAGAUCCAC
This 1106-nucleotide long non-coding RNA is filed under the name Homo sapiens (human). RNAcentral describes it as "non-protein coding lnc-SAMD11-4:2". The record is from RNAcentral. Lineage: Eukaryota; Metazoa; Chordata; Mammalia; Primates; Hominidae.